UACGAAGGGGGCUAGCGUUGUUCGGAAUUACUGGGCGUAAAGGGCGCGUAGGCGGUCCUGAUCGUCGGAUGUGAAAGGCCUGGGCUCAACCUGGGAAUGGCAUCCGAUACGGCGGGACUGGAGUGUGGGAGAGGUUGGUGGAAUUCCCAGUGUAGGGGUGAAAUUCGUAGAUAUUGGGAAGAACACCGGUGGCGAAGGCGGCCAACUGGACCACAACUGACGCUGAGGCGCGAAAGCGUGGGGAGCAAACAGG
RNAcentral lists this ribosomal RNA (253 nucleotides) under uncultured bacterium. RNAcentral describes it as "partial 16S ribosomal RNA". It matches the Rfam family "Bacterial small subunit ribosomal RNA", at positions 524 to 776 of the family's 1533-position model. The record is from RNAcentral.